This 223-nucleotide long non-coding RNA is filed under the name Anser brachyrhynchus (Pink-footed goose). RNAcentral describes it as "lncRNA (ENSABRG00000013897.1)". The record is from RNAcentral. Lineage: Eukaryota; Metazoa; Chordata; Aves; Anseriformes; Anatidae.
GUAAUUGCUCGUGUGCUGAAGGAACAUGACUGGCCCUGUUGCUAGAGAGGUGUGGUGCUCCUGUGGUUCAGCCCGACGGUGGGGACAGACUCCAAGGCUGUUCACAGCACGGGUAGAGAAGUGUCUGUGGGUCCUCUCCUGUGUGGAAGGGCAGCUGCCAGCCUCUUGCCCCGGCUGGAAACAGCCACAGUCCCAGAAAUACAUGGGGGAGUCGAAGAUCUAA